This 116-nucleotide ribosomal RNA is filed under the name Lepisosteus oculatus (spotted gar). Lineage: Eukaryota; Metazoa; Chordata; Actinopteri; Semionotiformes; Lepisosteidae. The record is from RNAcentral.
GCCAGCAGCCAUAUCACCCUGCAACUCCCCACUGGCAGCCCACUGGAGCUCAGCAGGUGUGAGCCUGGUCAGUACCUGGAUGGGAGACCUCCUGGGGAAAAUGGUUGCUGCUGGAA